RNAcentral lists this unclassified non-coding RNA (1593 nucleotides) under Hevea brasiliensis (rubber tree). The record is from RNAcentral. Lineage: Eukaryota; Viridiplantae; Streptophyta; Magnoliopsida; Malpighiales; Euphorbiaceae.
GACACAAUCACUUUUGAUUACCAUUAUACGCAGCUUAGCUGACGCAUCUUCACACUCAUCCAAGUCAUAUAAACCCUAAUUCCUAAUCAAAGCAUCUUUUGCAUUAAUUCUUACAUAUAAUAUAAACAAAUUAACAGAAGCCGCCAUGAAAGGAAAAGUACAAGCAACGACUUGAAGCAAAUUAAUGCAUGGAUAGAAAAAAGGAAAAAGAUAAAGUGAAAAAGGAGGGAUUGCAUUGGACAUAUUCUUCUUUUCCAGGAAUUCCAAGAUCAGCCCAAGCAUGGUUUGUAAAUGUUCUAUAAAGGGCGUGGCUUCAACAUCCUAUAUAUAUCUGAAGUUGCGAAAAGCGGCACAGCAUCCAAUAUAUACUUUGAUUCUCUUGGAUGAUAACUUGGCCCUAGAAAAGCUUACCUCAUAUAUCUAUCAAAUGGCUAAUAUGCAAAUUGUUCCAGCUUCCAAGAAUGUGGAGGCACAGUAUGUGGAGAUGAUGGUCCCUCUGUAUUCCUAUGGGUGUGAGAGGAAAGUGAAGAAGACUCUAUCCCAUCUCAAAGGUAUAUAUAUAAAACAAAUUUCUAAUUUCUAAUUUGCUCCCAUGUCCAAUUUUCCAUUCUAGAAUGCAUUCAUUAGCUAUCAGUUCAUAUAGAUUUUCUUCAAUUCUUGUUUUUUAAUCAGAUAUUUUUCAUUUUACGAUUCAUAUUUUGCACAUAAAUUUAGAAUUUUUUUACCUUUUUUUUUUGUACAUAUUCAGAUUCUCUCAUUAUUAAUAAAAUUAUUAUCCACUAAAUUUGAAAUAACUAAUAAACAUAGGCCCAAGAUUGAGACCUGUGGACCAACAGGAGAAGCAUGGGCCGAUCAAACAUGCAGUCAUUAAGUGUUGGUCCAUUGAAUGAGGAAAAUAGUAACCAAGAAUCCAUCCGCUCCACCCAUCAUUUUAUUCUCCUUUCACUUUUUUUUAAUCAAUUUACAUAUGAAUUGGCAUUCUAUGCAGGAAUUUAUUCAGUAAAUGUAGAUUACUAUCAACAGAAGGUGACGGUGUGGGGAAUAUGCAACAAAUAUGAUGUGUUAGCAACCAUGAAAAGCAAGAGAAAAGAAGCUCGUUUUUGGAAUCCAGAAGACAGCAUUGUUGAUCAAAUGGAAGAAUCACAGGCACAACCCACUAAUAAGGAGGGCUCUAAGCCUUCUUCUUUAGGACUAAUGAAGGCUCGCUCUCUAAGCUGGAAGGCUUGGAGAAAGGUCUUCACUAGAUCACUUUCCUUGUAAUUAAAUAAAAGAAAUUAAAUUUGUACAUAAAAUGAACUCAUUGUUCAAUCAUUUCGGCUAAGUAAUCUGGUGCUUGUUCCCAUUAUACAGAGAAGCAGCAGCUUUCCCUUUUUUCUCUCUUUUUCUUUUCAUUCCUUCUCCUUAUACUUGUUGGGUAGAAUUAGGAACCUGUCAUGUCUCUAUACAUACAUAGAUGGCUCUAUUCUUUGAAUUUAAAUCCAUGAUUGCUGCUUAUCUCUCAGGUUAGCCGCGUUAGGUGAUAAAAGUCGAGGCCUGUCGCUGAUUUCUAUUCUUUGAAUCUCUUCAUUCUCUGAAUUUAAUUACACAAUUCAG